RNAcentral lists this ribosomal RNA (407 nucleotides) under Verrucomicrobiota bacterium. RNAcentral's name for it is "Verrucomicrobia bacterium partial 16S ribosomal RNA". It matches the Rfam family "Bacterial small subunit ribosomal RNA", at positions 355 to 776 of the family's 1533-position model. Lineage: Bacteria; Pseudomonadati; Verrucomicrobiota. The record is from RNAcentral.
UGGGGUAUAUUGGACAAUGGAGGAAACUCUGAUCCAGCAAUUCUGUGUGUGUGAAGAAGGUUUUAGGACUGAAAAACACUAUUAGUAGGGAAGAAAAAAAUGACGGUACCUACAGAAGAAGCAACGGCUAAAUACGUGCCAGCAGCCGCGGUAAUACGUAUGUUGCGAGCGUUAUCCGGAAUUAUUGGGCUUAAAGGGCAUCUAGGCGGUAAGACAAGUUGAAGGUGAAAACCUGUGGCUCAACCAUAGGCUUGCCUACAAAACUGUUGAACUAGAGUACUGGAAAGGUGGGUGGAACUACACGAGUAGAGGUGAAAUUAGUAGAUAUGUGUAGGAAUGCCGAUGAUGAAGAUAACUCACUGGACAGAAACUGACGCUGAAGUGCGAAAGCUAGGGGAGCAAACAGG